GCACUUUGAAUCGCGUGGUGACUUCCGGCUUGAGGGUGAAUGAAGAAUAGUCAGGUGGUGAGUGGAACGUCUCUCCGGGUGUCGGAAUUAAAAACGGACCUGGAGGAUAUUGAUCUCCAAGAACAUGCCCUGGCGGCGGCUGCAGGGCAUUUCCUUCGGGAUAUAUUCGGCUGAAGAGCUCAAGAAAUUAAGUGUUAAAUCCAUUACGAACCCUCGGUACCUGGACAGCCUGGGGAACCCAUCGGCAAACGGCCUGUACGAUUUAGCUUUGGGCCCUGCAGAUUCCAAAGAGGUGUGCUUCACCUGCGUGCAGGACUUCAGCAACUGUUCUGGGCACCUGGGCCACAUUGAGCUCCCACUCACGGUGUAUAACCCUCUCCUCUUCGAUAAGCUGUACCUGCUGCUUCGGGGCUCUUGUUUAAACUGCCACAUGCUGACUUGUCCCCGGGCCGUGAUUCCCCUCUUACUCUGCCAGCUGAGGGUUCUGGAAGUCGGGGCCCUACAAGCAGUCUACGAGCUUGAGAGAAUUCUGAACAGGGGAGUUUCUGGAAGAAAACGCCGAUCCCUCUGCCUCUGAAAUUCAGGAGGAAUUAGAACAAUACACAACUGAAAUUGUGCAGAACAAGCUCCUGGGGUCCCAGGGCGCACAUGUGCAGAGCCACUCAUGUGGCUGGACUGUGGAUGUGCCUUCCUCAGAACCCUGAGGUCCUUCUGAGGCAGGCCAGCUGCAUCCAGAGGGCUUCCUUUUACAAGUGAAGGUAACUAGCGCUUAUUGAGUACUGGCUGUAUUUCAAGCCCCCACUGCAUUCAUGAUUCUUUAUCUUAGUAAGAGCUUACUGAGGUGGUUAUUACUCUUAUUCCCAUAUUAUAAUUGAGGAAACUGAAGGCUUCAAGAGGUCACUCAGUAAUUAUCAGAGAUCAAGUAUAUUAGGGUUCUAUGGAAGAUUUUGUUUAAGAAAGUGGUGGUGGGGGUGUUUCCUCUGGUUAAAAAUAAAAGGUGAAAACAUAAAGUAAAUAUAUUGGAUUCUCUUCAAAAUGGCACUCCUAGGUUCUCUGA
Molecule: RNA transcript, 1057 nt
Organism: Symphalangus syndactylus (siamang)
Lineage: Eukaryota; Metazoa; Chordata; Mammalia; Primates; Hylobatidae
Gene name: DNA-directed RNA polymerase I subunit RPA1-like
Source: RefSeq, a predicted model, not a curated record